Non-coding RNA from Ralstonia solanacearum, 344 nucleotides. It matches the Rfam family "Bacterial RNase P class A". From Rfam's summary of the family: Ribonuclease P (RNase P) is a ubiquitous endoribonuclease, found in archaea, bacteria and eukarya as well as chloroplasts and mitochondria. Its best characterised activity is the generation of mature 5'-ends of tRNAs by cleaving the 5'-leader elements of precursor-tRNAs. Cellular RNase Ps are ribonucleoproteins. The record is from Rfam. Lineage: Bacteria; Pseudomonadati; Pseudomonadota; Betaproteobacteria; Burkholderiales; Burkholderiaceae.
GAAGCGGACCAGACAACCGCUGCUUCCGCGUGCUUGCACGACGGAAGGGGAGGAAAGUCCGGACUCCACAGGGCAGGGUGAUGGCUAACGACCAUCCACGGCGACGUGCGGAAUAGGGCCACAGAGACGAGUCUUCGCUCACGGCUUCGGCCAGGGCGAAGGGUGAAACGCGGUAACCUCCACCCGGAGCAAUCCCAAGUAAGCAGGCGAUGAAGCGGCCCGCCGAGCCUGCGGGUAGGGAGCUUGAGCCGGCCGGCAACGGUCGGUCUAGAGGAAUGGUUGUCACGCCGCGCGGUGUCAUGCCGCGCGGCGCACAGAAUCCGGCUUAUCGGUCCGCUUCGCGU